Ictalurus punctatus (channel catfish) is the source of this 449-nucleotide long non-coding RNA. The record is from Ensembl. NCBI's taxonomy places the organism in Eukaryota, Metazoa, Chordata, Actinopteri, Siluriformes, Ictaluridae.
ACGCAACGCGGAUAUCUCAUCCCGGCACACCGCUAGCGCACGAUUUUGUUCCAGGACGAGACGUUCCCAAUCCGAGGCGCCCGCUGCCUCCAUAGUACGGCGAAGUAAUCUGUUACGAAGCGCUGACGGAGACAAGCGCGGGCGAGCGAAGAGAUGGCGUGUGACCGAACACAGGACGAGAAUCGACUCGGGACCGAGCAGCACUGUCUUGGGCAUCUUACAUUGCGGACAUUGCAGUUUAUUGCUCUGGCCACAUCUGAAGUCCUCAUGCCUCCCUGCAGCAGGCCUAUGGUGUGCCUAUGGCACGCAGGAAGAGUCCUGGUGGUUCCAAGCUUCUUCCAUUUACGGAUGACGGAGGCCACUGUGCUCACUGGGACCUUCAAUGCUGCAGAAAUGUUUCUGUACCCUUCCCCAGAUCUGUGCCUCGAUACAAUCCUGUCUCGGAGGAC